AUGAACGCUGGCGGCGUGCCUAAUACAUGCAAGUCGAGCGAACGGACGAGAAGCUUGCUUCUCUGAUGUUAGCGGCGGACGGGUGAGUAACCCGUGGAUAACCUACCUAUAAGACUGGGAUAACUUCGGGAAACCGGAGCUAAUACCGGAUGAUAUUUUGAACCGCAUGGUUCAAAAGUGAAAGACGGUCUUGCUGUCACUUAUAGAUGGAUCCGCGCUGCAUUAGCUAGUUGGUAAGGUAACGGCUUACCAAGGCAACGAUGCAUAGCCGACCUGAGAGGGUGAUCGGCCACACUGGAACUGAGACACGGUCCAGACUCCUACGGGAGGCAGCAGUAGGGAAUCUUCCACAAUGGGCGAAAGCCUGACGGAGCAACGCCGCGUGAGUGAUGAAGGUCUUCGGAUCGUAAAACUCUGUUAUUAGGGAAGAACAUAUGUGUAAGUAACUGUGCACAUCUUGACGGUACCUAAUCAGAAAGCCACGGCUAACUACGUG
Molecule: ribosomal RNA, 496 nt
Filed under: uncultured bacterium
Lineage: Bacteria
Description: partial 16S ribosomal RNA
Rfam family: Bacterial small subunit ribosomal RNA
Source: RNAcentral